RNAcentral lists this long non-coding RNA (1793 nucleotides) under Ananas comosus (pineapple). Its description in RNAcentral is "long non-coding RNA (ACOM_LNC002608)". The record is from RNAcentral. Lineage: Eukaryota; Viridiplantae; Streptophyta; Magnoliopsida; Poales; Bromeliaceae.
UGGCAAAAUAUACUUAGUCUUCAUGUCAUUUGCUCAUAAUAAAAUAAAUCAUCAGAUAAUUGAAAUGUAUGAUAUACAUCGUAAUCAUCCCAAUAAUUUGAUAUUGAAUAAUAUGGGAGAUUACGAAGAAUUUAUAUAUGAUGGACAUAUUAAAACUAGUUUAAAUAUUUUGCGUGGAUAAUUUGAACUCAAUAAGUUAUUAGUAUUAGUUUGCUGAAUCGUUACAGUAAGUAUCAAGCCAGAGCCAGAUAGCCUAGUCAUAAGUCAUAAGUCAUAAGUGUGACUGGACUGAUGAAUCUUGAGCUAUCCUUAGCACGUACGUAGUUGUCUAUUUUUCCUUAUAUUUUAAUUGUUUGUUGUUGCUUCUCUCCAACUAUCAGUACGGGACUAGGUUGACCUCCGAGUAGAGACAAUAAUCCAAAAUGAUUCGACAUUAAUCAAAACCCAUAUAAUAAGAAACGAAAAUUUUACUGCAAGUACCGAUCGUACUUAGCGUAAAUGAUAAAGAGCUUGAUGGUUGGUAUUCGAUAUCUCAAAUUCGAAUUCUAAUUGAUUCAUAUUUAUAGCUAAAUUUAUUUUUGAAUUAAAUAAACGAAGCGGAUAGCAUGCUAUCUAUCUCUCUUAAAAAAAAAUUUUACGGCAAGUUAUUUAAUUGACCCAACCACUACAACAAAAACGGUCUAUAGCGACACUUUUAAAUAUAGUUACAUGUCAAAAAAGUGCUGCUAGCUAAAAUUACCGACACUUUUAAAAAGUGUUGCUAUAUGUGGGGUCGCUAGGUAUAUAGUGACAGUUAAAGAGUGUCGCUAUAACCUAAAAGAGUGCUACUAAUUUACCAACACUUAUUUAAGCAUUUAGCAACCGCCGAAACUCUAUCUCGUUGGCUGCGAUGGCGGAGAAGGACGACAGUAAAGGUUCUUCAUCUAGAAUUUCAGUAGAUUGAGUGAAGAGAGAAGAAAAUAUGGUAAUUGAUUUUACUUGUUUUUUUUUCUUUUCUGUUUGUAAUCAGGCCAAAUGGACUGGGUGUGGUGGGUUGAGUAGAGUAAUCUUUUAUUUUUGGUUGGAUUGGGCUUUAUAUUUAGGCAUUAGUAGAUGUGUUUUUAAGUUCUAGCAUAAAUGGGACACUUACUCAAAAGUGUCCCAAAUAUGUGUCGCUAUAACCUAAUUCUGUUGUAGUGAACAAGCUUAAUAACUAGCAACUUCGCAAAAAUAAAUAAAUAAUCCAACCCAACCAGCCCAAUAUUGCUUAUUUCUAAUUUGGUCAUUUUGUUUCCCUCACACCAAUUUUCUGCCCGCACUUGGUGCAUUCGAUUGAUAAAUUUCAUAUACUACACUCUUAAAAUUUAUUAUAAAUAUUUUCAUCUAUAAAUAUCAAAAUUAUACAUUUUCAACAACUCAUUCUUAUAAAUUAAAUAAUCUUUUUAUUACUGUUGAUUUUUAUAGAAUAAUUACUUUACAUGCGUUAGAAAAGUACGAAAAAAUAUAUUAUAUAUAUAUUUGUUUUCGUAAUAUUACGUUUCGCAUAUUGUAAUUAAUAUGUUGAGAUAUAUUUUCUAUAAAUAUGUUAAAUAUAAAAUAUAUUUUAAAAUAAUUUUUUUAUAAUUUUAUAUAAUAAUAUUAGAUGAGACUCUGGCAGUAAACAAGUCUUAAAAGAGUGAUGUUCAACUGCGUUAACUAUUGAAAGUAUGCAAAGGAGAGAGUUUACUGUAUCAUACUUGCACCACGUAAUAACAAGCCAAUUAUAUAUAUUUUUUUUAAAAAAAUUAUAAUAAAAAUAUUUUUUUAUUAAUUAC